UUCGUAUCGCGUUGGUCGGAAACUACAGUUUGUCCAAGAGGUGUUUCCGUAGCUAGCUGUCAAAGGUGGCGACCGUUCUGCAUAUGCGCGACUCACACGGAGUCACAUCCUGUAAGCAUGUUGUGAUCAAAUGGCUAUGUCAAAAAUACAUCCGUGAUAUAGCGAGCCUAGAACGAGCCUAACGUGACUGUUAACGGGUAACGUUACGACUAGUAUGGACUCCUGUUCCGGUAAUGUGUCAAAUAUGGUUUUAGGGUCUUUGUACGCGUUAUUAGCGGGCUUUUUGGGUGCUGUUGCUUCACUGUCUGCCAAACUAUCACUCGGUGCAGACUACCUCAGAGAGAAGUGUGAUUCAGGGCUCGGCAGCUGGACUGAUCCUGGAACAGUCUGUGACUGGCUCCACAUCCCCCUGCGGCUUCUGUGUGGAAGCCUACUGUUCAUCUGUAAUGCUGUCAUGUGACCUUUUUUCCAAGGCCCUCCGACACUGCCCCUUUCAGCCAGGGCUACAGUCACUACCACAGCAUCCAACUUCAUCUCCUCAGCUGUCCUGGGGACGGUGAUGUUUGGAGAGAGUCAUGCAGUUCUAUGGUGGGUGGGAAUGUCUCUCACUCUGUCUGGACUGCUGGUGCUUCAUGGAUCCACACCUCAGACGCUCCAACAGGAGGACGGUAAAAAGGACAAGUGAUGUAGAUUUGACUCAUCACAAGCAUGCAGCCACUGGCUUCAGUCACGAUAACCUGUGGCCAGACUCUCUCAGAGACAAUUUCUCAGGCACUUAAAAGUGUCUUAAUGUUGAGUCUAGUCAAAAUGUGCGUUUAUUAUUUUUUGGUAGUUAUUUUUAGGGCCCGAGCACCAUCAGUGCGGGAGGAAAUUAAAUUUACAUGGUGUGAUGUACACAUGAUAUUAAGCAACACAAUGCUUGUCUUAUGCCACUCCCCCUUUCAUAACCAAUAAACUGUUUGACAUGGACUCUUACACAAGACAUCAUUGCACUCCUAAAGAGUUCCUUUCAUCAGUGGUUUGCUGUGGUUCGCACGGUAUAAUAUGGCCACGCCCCCUUUCUUAACUUAUGAACCAUUUAUCAUAGAAGCUUAAGGACACAGGAUUUGCAAUGCAUAAUUUCCAAUGCCAUACAUUCCCUGCAGAUAAUAGUAAAGAUUAAUAUAAUGGGGUCGGCUUACGGCAAUUCAUUUAAAAGGAAUGUCACAUUAUUAACAUGUCCUCAACAAAAUUUUGAUACUAAAAGUACAGCAAGUUGUGACUGUGUCAAAAAGCAGUGACAUAGAAACUUAUGUGGUUGUGAUAAUACAAAAUCAGGAAAUUGCUGCAAUUAAAAAUGUCUUAGUACAUUGUACCUGUGGGAAAUUACCAGCAGUUUGUCUGAUACACUUGGAGUUUUGUACUUCACUAGACCCAUUUUCAGGAAACCUGUCUGGGAGAUGGACAUUAGCUAUGUUUAUAUAGGGUUUGGUCCAUUGGUUUGAAGAUGCUAAGAAAUAUUCCAUCUCCAUAGUGCAAAUUUUCAGUAGGCUACAACUGGUUUUUAACUAGAAUUACCUCCUCUGAGUUGUAUGUCUUCACCAAUCUGUCAAGUGGAAGAUUACAGUGCAUCCAUGUCUGUCCAGACUUAUAUAAUAUAUGUGGUGGCAAGAAGGACAAGAGACCAAAUUAAAGCCAUCUUGAAUUAACCUUCUCCCUCUCUCUACAACGAGCUGUGGUAGAUGGGCAGCUCAUCGGAGCCAGGGUGAAGAACAAGAUCAAAGCCUGUGAGUUGGUCCUCAUCUAAGUCGAGGGUCUUGGGACAGAGGAUGUUGUUUGCUGUACAGUGUGAAGAUUGUGUUUUUUGAUUUGGAAUAUAGAGAUAUAUUAAUAAAAUUUAUUUUACAUUA
Molecule: long non-coding RNA, 1889 nt
Organism: Etheostoma spectabile (orangethroat darter)
Lineage: Eukaryota; Metazoa; Chordata; Actinopteri; Perciformes; Percidae
Exons: 3
Source: RefSeq, a predicted model, not a curated record